This 293-nucleotide ribosomal RNA is filed under the name uncultured bacterium. RNAcentral describes it as "partial 16S ribosomal RNA". It matches the Rfam family "Bacterial small subunit ribosomal RNA", at positions 775 to 1067 of the family's 1533-position model. The record is from RNAcentral.
GGAUUAGAUACCCUGGUAGUCCACGCAGUAAACGAUGAGCACUAGACGUGGGAGAGGUUGACUCUCCGGUGUCGCAGCUAACGCAUUAAGUGCUCCGCCUGGGGAGUACGGCCGCAAGGUUGAAACUCAAAGGAAUUGACGGGGGCCCGCACAAGCGGUGGAGCAUGUGGUUUAAUUCGAUGCAACGCGAAGAACCUUACCUGCCCUUGACAUCCGGGGAAUCCUAUUGAGAGAUAGGGGUGCCUUCGGGAACCCCGAGACAGGUGCUGCAUGGCUGUCGUCAGCUCGUGUUG